Molecule: RNA transcript, 4006 nt
Organism: Ananas comosus (pineapple)
Lineage: Eukaryota; Viridiplantae; Streptophyta; Magnoliopsida; Poales; Bromeliaceae
Exons: 6
Source: RefSeq, a predicted model, not a curated record
UCCCACCACUCCCUCUUUCCUCACCCUACAAUCCGAAGCAACUCAUCAACAUCAGACCCCAGUGUGCUGUAUUUGGGCCUGAAACUAAGCAACGUGUUGCAUUAGGUCUUCGAUUCGAGCGAUUAAAGCUUAACCUUUGGCGGAGCUUGUGGUUGGCGGAGCUUGUGGUUGGCGGAGCUUGUGGUUCAACGCUUCUUCUCGACCUCGAGUUACUAUCAGGGUAUUUUUAGCUUACUAUUAUCCAUUUACCAAAAAAUGGCACCUAGUAAGCGUUGGAUGGAUCUUGUUGAUGAUCGGCUUAGCGAAGCAUAUGAAACGGGAGUUCAAAGUUUUUUGAAUUAUGCUUUCAAGAGGACUGGAAAGAAUAAGAAAAUUCGAUGUCCUUGUGUAAAAUGUGGUAAUACAUAUUCUGGAACUCGUGAGGUAGUUGAGUCACACUUGAAGGUUUACGGAAUAGUUCAAAAUUAUACUUUUUGGUAUCAUCAUGGCGAAAGGUCAGGUGAGCCUCAAUCUGAGUCAGAUGGCGAUGAUGGGGAGGAAAUUGAAGAAGAUGAGAGUGACAAUGAGAUGCAUGACAUUAUAAGAGAUUUGUAUCCUGAAUUUAGUGAUGUGGGUAGAGACUUUGAGAACUCUAAUUCCAUGAGUAAUGACGAGAUUGAAGAAGAACCAAAUGAUGAAGCAAAGAAAUUCUAUAGGUUAUUAAGAGACUCUAAUCAACCAUUAUAUGAUGGUUCCAAAAGCUCAAAAUUAUCUUUGCUAGUCAAAUUACUUCACAUUAAGAGCCUUGGUGGGUGGAGUAAUGCAUCAUUUACAAUGUUGUUACAAUUAUUAAAAGAUGAUCUUCUACCAAGUGGAACAAAUUUUCCUAAUUCAUACUACGAGGCAAAGAAGAUUAUUCAAGAUCUUGGUCUCUCUUAUAAAAAAAUUGAUGCAUGUAUAAAUGAUUGUAUGCUAUAUUGGAAGGAGGAUGCAAAUUCUAACUUGUGCAAAGUUUGCGGUGCUUCUAGAUGGAAGCAUGAUAAGCAUAGUGGUGAAACCAAGCAAAAGGUAAGUGGUAAAAGAGUACCUAUGAAGUCAUUACGCUAUUUUCCACUAAAGCCUAGACUUCAAAGGUUGUUUAUGUCCAAAAAGACAGCCUCCUUAAUGCGAUGGCAUAUUGAUCAAAGGGUUGAUGAUGGAGUGAUGCGACAUCCAGCUGAUUCAAUAUCUUGGAGAUCCUUCAAUGAACUUCAUGAAUCAUUUGCAUUGGAGCCUCGCAAUGUGAGACUUGGUCUUGCUAGUGAUGGUUUCCAACCAUUUGGAGAUUCGAGAAAACCAUAUAGCAUUUGGCCGGUAAUAUUAAUUCCAUACAACUUGCCACCAUGGAUGUGCAUGAAGCAAUCUAAUUUUAUUCUAUCGAUGCUUAUUCCUGGACCCGAGAGUCCUGGAGAUGCAAUUGAUAUAUAUCUCCAACCAUUAAUAAAUGAGUUAAAGGAGUUAUGGGAUGUAGGGGUUGAAACAUUUGAUGUAUCUAUUCGACAAAAUUUUCAAUUGCAUGCAGCUCUACUAUGGACUAUUAAUGAUUUUCCAGCUUAUGGUAACUUAUCCGGAUGGAGUACGAAAGGAAAACUAGCAUGUCCUUGUUGCAAUAAGAACACAUUUUCUAUUAGGUUAACUAAUGGUGGUAAGCAAUGUUACAUGGGCCACCGACGCUAUUUGCCUAUUAAUCACAAAUGGAGGAAUGAUAAAUUCUCUUUUGAUGGCACUAAAGAAAGGGGUUGUGCACCAAAGCUUCUUACAGGUGAUGAAAUUUUAGGACAGGUGCAAGAUCUUGAGGGGAUUAUCUUAACCAAAUAUGCCAACAAGAGACAAAAAAUAUCACAUAGUGAUCGUGGUGAUAAUUGGAACAAGAAAAGUAUAUUCUUUGAACUACCAUAUUGGAAGACUCUUUUGUUGCGCCAUAAUUUAGACUUAAUGCACAUUGAGAAGAACAUAACAGAUAGCAUACUUGGUACCAUCAUGAAUAUUAAAGGAAAAACAAAGGACACUAUUAAAUCUCGUCUUGAUUUGCAAGCAAUGCAUAUAAGGCCUGAAUUACAUCCCGUUAGAAAAGGAGAUAAAUUGGCACUUCCACAUGCUUCCUAUACAUUGUGUCCAAAGGAAAAGCACACAUUUUGUGUUUUCUUUAAACAAUUGAGGGUUCCUGAUGGCUUCUCGUCGAAUAUAUCUCACUGUGUGAACCUUAAAGAGCACAAAAUUUCAGGGUUGAAAAGUCAUGAUUGUCAUGUUAUUUUGCAACGCCUACUUCCGUAUGCAAUACGUGGUCUUCUUCCUAAAGCAGUUUUUGAACCACUUAUUGAGUUAUCUUCAUUUUUCACUGUGGUGGGUUCUAAGACACUAAAAUCAGAUGAUUUGAAUCAGAUUGAGGCCCAGAUUCCUAUAACUCUUUGUAAGCUAGAGAGAGUUUUUCCUCCUUCAUUUUUCGAUGUUAUGUUACAUUUACCAAUUCAUUUAGCAAAUGAGGCUAAGAUUGGUGGGCCUAGCCAAUAUAGAUCAAUGUAUUCUAUAGAACAAUACUUGUAUACUCUAAAGGGAUACAUACGCAAUAGAGCUUGUCCAGAGGGUUCGAUUGCAGAAGGUUAUAUUGCGAAUGAAUGUAUGACUUUUUGCUCAAGAUAUCUUCAUGGCAUGGAUACAAAGUUUAAUCGUCAUGAGAGGAAUUAUGAUUGUCGAGAUAUUAAAGCACAUAAAGGUUUAUUUAUCUUUUGUCAACCUGGGAGAGCGAUAGGAGCUGGUACUACACGUGACUUAGAUACAAAUGAGUUCAAGCAAGCACAUAUUUAUGUCUUGAAGAACUGCCCUGAAGUUCAACCAUUUCUUGAUCAGUUCUCGCAAAUUCAAAGUAGAAGGGCACUAGAAGUAUUUGACAAAAAUUUUAUUGAGUGGUUUAAGAUCAAGGUUGCACAAAUUCAUAAGCAGGACAACAACUUGAUUAUGGAAGACUUGCUUUCUUUGUCACGUGGUCCUACCAAAUAUGUGACAUGUUAUAAUGGAUAUCUAAUAAAUGGAUAUAGAUUCCGGAUAGAAGAUAUUGACAAAGGCUUAAGGACACAAAACAGUGGAGUGGUUGUAGUUGGUGAUACUGGUAGUGAAACUGAAAGAAGAGACUACUAUGGGGUCUUAACGGAGAUCAUUGAAUUACAAUAUCUUGGUGGUCGUCGAGUAGUAUUGUUCCGAUGUAAUUGGUGGGAUGUAUAUAACAAAGAAAAAGGAGUGAAAAUAGAUGAAUAUGGGCAUAUUAGUGUUAAUUGCCAAAGAUUAUUGAAAACAAAUGAACCUUUUGUAUUGGCCAAUCAAGCAUCGCAAGUAUUUUAUGCAUCUGACAAUGUUAAUAAAGGUUGGCAUAUUGUACAAAAGACUCAACCUCGUGACAUAUAUGAGAUGCCUUUAGAGAUGGAUGAGGAUUCUAAUGAUCUACAAAAUAGGGUUGAGGCAUAUCAACAAUUUGAAUCAUUUAUUUCCAUCAAUGCUGCAUCUACAUCACAAAAUAUGGAUGAUGAAGUCAAUUAGAAUAGGAAAGAUAUGGAGCCAAUGAUUAUUGAUAUAACUUCCACAAGAAAGAAGAAGAAACAAAAAUCAUAAGAAGUUGACUACUCGGCUGAUACUUUAUACAUGUGAAAAAUGCAACCAACAAAAUCACGAAAUGGCUAUACAUUCAACCCUAGAGCUGACAAGCAUAUGUUCAUACAACCUGGAGCAUUGAGUAAGGGGCGUGUACAAGGGUUAAAAUUAUUUCAUUCUUUUGGCUCGUCAUCACAAAGUACACUUCUAGAUACUAUCAAUGAUGUUACACCACCCGUUGAUACCCCUAUUAUGCAUUCAAAUGAUGUCUUUGUCCCCUCAGAUGUAGAGCCAAUGGAAGAAUUAAGGGAAACAGAUACUAAUAGUGCUCAAAAGAAGAGAAAGGUGCGAGGCAAAAACAAGUGUAAACAAGUUGCAAAACUAAAAAGUGGACAAAAGUUGGAAG